CACAGGAACGAAGAAGAGACCAGGAUUAUUUUAGGCACCGAAGGGGCAAACUUGUAUGAUAAAUACAGGUGAAACUCUCAGGUAAAAGGACUUUGUUCCACGA
This 103-nucleotide non-coding RNA is filed under the name Chloroflexota bacterium. RNAcentral describes it as "Chloroflexi bacterium Glycine sequence". It matches the Rfam family "Glycine riboswitch aptamer". Rfam says of the family: This family represents the bacterial glycine riboswitch. The record is from RNAcentral. Lineage: Bacteria; Bacillati; Chloroflexota.